Molecule: long non-coding RNA, 6250 nt
Filed under: Sus scrofa (pig)
Lineage: Eukaryota; Metazoa; Chordata; Mammalia; Artiodactyla; Suidae
Description: lncRNA (ENSSSCG00000054306.1)
Source: RNAcentral
GAGGGGGCAGUGUGCUAGGGCACACCUCGAGCCCAGGGAGGGUCCUUACUCCGGGGGGGGACAAAAGUGACAAAUAGCAUUAAUAUGGGUUAAGACCCAGACUGCAGUGCAGUGGGUUAAAGGAUCCAGCAGCUGCGGCUCAGAUUCAGUCCCUGGCUGGGGAACUUCUGUAUGCGUGGGUGCGACCGUAAAAAAACUAAUAAUAGUGAUAGUAUUUCUGAUGUGCUUACAGGGUGCCAGCAGCUUGGCAUCUGAUCUCCUGGGUCCGGAUUAGGUUUGCCUUCAGUUGGUGAGUGGAACCUGGGCCCUUAGGGGUUAACUAGCAAAAUGCCCAUGGCUGAUGAGCGACUCUGCUGGGGUGUGAACCCAGGAUUCUAGAUGCCAGCGCUCAGCUCGUGGGCCAGCUGGGGUGUAGCAUAAACUACUCUGGGGGUCAGAGCAUAAGCCUGAGUCUCAUUCCUUGCUUUGUCUCGUACCAGCUGUGUGGCCUCAGGCAAGUCGGGCAACCUCUCUGAGCCUCAAACCUUCUGCUGUGGCACAUAAUACAUGACAUUGACAUAUGUUCCCACCAGGAUAGUGCGAGCAGAUCCACCCAUUUCGAGCCUGUGACGGUGGUUUGAAAGGCGGAGAAGGACCUCUCAGUGCUCCUGGAUGAACAGGCUUUUGGUUGGGUUGGAGAGGGGAAGGUGGGGUUGGGUGGGGCCCUAGGGAGCCUCAGAAUCCAGGGACAGUGUUCCCGAGCCUUUAUUCUUGGGAGGCGGGGCUGGCCUGGCUGCGUCUGCAUUCUCACACACCCUCGCUGGCCUCCUCUGCUGCUUCCUAGUUUCCCUUUUCUGCUGUGGAUCUAAGCCUCUGGAAAUGAAAUCUCAAAUCCUGGGAGGCUUUCGCAUUAAAUACAGCCCUUGAGAGCUUGCUAGGUCAAGGUCCUGGGGACAAGCUUCAGGUGGCUGGAGAAAAAGGUGCACCAUUUUCCAGGGCUUGGGGUAGGUUUGUGGGGGGUAGUUUUAUUACAUGCUCAGAAAAGUAGCCAUGACCACUGAAGAAAGUCCUGCAAAGAGAGGAAGUGUGAAAAAGAAAUCUCUCAGAACCACCCCUCCUGGAAAGUACCUAUCUUAACACUUUGGAGAAUUUCCUUUUGCUGUAUGUUUUUCAGUUCCUGUAUUGUUACAUCUGUCAUUCUGAUCCUGGUGUUAUUUCCUUUGUCUUUUAACAAUUUAACAGUGUAGCAGAUGUUUCGUCCUUGUUAUUUUAAAUUCCUCAUGAGUGUUAGUGAGAUGCAGACUUUUCCAUGGUAUGACAGCUAUUUCUCAUACCACGAUACACUUAGUAAUCUCCUUAAGGUGGAUUGUGUUGGAGCUCUGUGGCAUUUUGCUACGAAAAAUAACAGGAUGGUAGAUAAAGAAGUUGUGGUUUUUAUAUACCAUGGAAUAUUACUCAGCCGUAAAAAAGAACGAAAUCCUGCCAUUGGCAGUAAUGUGGGUGAACCUAGGGGGUAUUAUGCUAAGUGAAAAAAGUCAGGCAGAGAAAGACAAACACUGUCUGAUUUCACUUCUAUGUGGAAUCUAACACACAAAACAAACGAACAACCAUAACAGAAUAGAAACAGAGUUUUAGAGAUAGACAGCAAUAAAUGAGUCACAGCUAUGAAAUAUGCAAUGGGGGGGGAUAUAGUCAGUAAGUAUGUACCAUCUUUUUUUUUUUUUUUUUUUUUGCCAUUUCUUGGGCCGCUCCCUCGGCAUGUGGAGGUUCCCAGGCUAGGGAUCAAAUCGGAGCUGUAGCCACUGGCCUACGCCAGAGCCACAGCAACACAGGAUCUGAGCCGCAUCUGCAACCUACACCACAGCUCACGGCAAGGCCGGAUCCUUAACCCACUGAGCAAGGCCAGGGAUCGAACCCGCAACUUCACGGUUCCUAGUCGGAUUCGCCAACCACUGAGCCACGACGGGAACUCCAAUUAUGUACCAUCUUUGCGUGGUGCAAUGUUAUAACUAGACGUACCGUGGUGAUCGUUUUGAAAUAUAUAGAAAAAAAAUAGCCGUGCUGUACGCCAGCAACUAACAUAGCGUUUGUAGGUUAGUUACACUUCAAAAACGAUUCAACAUACAAGCAGACUCAUAAAAAAAGAGAUCAGAUGUGUGGUUCCCGAGGUGGGAAGGUGGGGGAGGGAGAAUUGGAUGGAGGAGUGAAAAAGUGCCAACUUCCAGUUGUAAGGACUGGGGUCGUAAGGUACCACGUGAUAAAUAAAAUGAGCACUGCGGUAUAUUGCAUAGGAAAAUUGUUAAGAGACUGAAUCCUAGGAGUUCUUAUUAUGAAAUUUUUUCUAUUUCUUUAAUUCUGUAUCUAUAUGAGGUGAUGGAUUUCCGUAAACUUACAAUAAGUGCCUGAUGCAAGUCAAACCAUCAUGCUGCACAUGUUAAACUUAUGCAGUGCCGCCUGUCAAUUCUAUCUCAGUGAGAAUGAAAGACAAAAAUAACUUGAUGAUAAACCCCUCUGUCCGCACGCUGAGCCAUUUCCAGGAACAGGUUCCUGCAAGGAGGAGCCGAGCUCUCGUGGAGGCUUUUGAUGCUGCACACAAAUGCCCUCUUGUUGGAGACGAGUGAGCAGGGCUCCGCUGCAGGGGCUCGUGCUGCUGCUGAAAAGAGAACAGAAGCCAUGUGCUCCUGCCUCAGAGGAAAGGUACCAAAUGGACCAGACUUAGCAUCUCUUCUUGAUGAUUUCAAAGGAGCUCUAGGAGUCCUGAUGAGCUCCGUGAAGUUUCACCCGAAGCUGGGAUGUCUAGGAUCCCUCAGAAGGUGGAAGUGGCAGGACGCAGACGCUUCCGUGCUGCUGGGAUGGGAGCUGCCUCCAGCAAGACGGGGUUCACUGCAGAGGAUCCCCCAACACAGAGCAGCUGCCUGUGCACACACCCACCUCCCCUCGCUGCACUCUCUGAGCAUCCCCCGUUCUUAAUUCUCUGUCACUGGCCUCUGGACAUCUGCUCUGUUAUGCCUUUACUUCUUAGCUGAGUCUCUCGUGCACCUAGAACUUAAGUUCCCUUCACCCAUGGUGCCCCUGCUGUAGCCCCACCGCUCGUCACAUUACCUGACACGUAGCAGGUACUCAGUGAAUAUGUUGAUUGAAUGAAUGAAUGAAUGAAUGGGGGAAGAUGUAAAAGCCAGCUCACUGUCCCCCGAUCAAGGUUGUUUGAAGUAAUAGGACUUGACUACAUUGAUUUAUUGAAUUAAGUGUGCCUGCUACAUCAUCUCAGACACAUGCAGGGUAACCCCUCGAGGUGGCUCCGUUGUUAUCCCGAUGCCUGCCUCCUUGACCUUGCAACAGGAAUAGCACUUCCCCAUGUUGUUAAACAUUGGCGAGCCAGAAUUUUUCUUCCUUUAACGUAUAUAAGAACAUUCCAGAACCUGCUCGAUAUACUCCUUAACACUUAGAAUAGCUUGCCCGGGAAUUGCUGGGGUGUAGAAGAUACCCACAGGUAGCUUACUCUGGAACUGCCAGGGCGUGUCCUAGGGCGGCCCAUGAGCCCACCGUCCCAUCAGCAGGGCACGGGUUCCGGUAUCUGCACCCGCCCCUGGCACUCAGCAUCGCAGUGCCUGCUCAUUUGAGCCAAGCUAAUAGGUGUCAGGAAUGUCUCAGCAGUUUUUAUUGGCAUUGCUGUGAUUGCUCAUGAGGCCCUGGACCGCUGCGCUUGCCCUGCCCUCAGCUUGGCCCCUCUCCCGCCCCGGACUCACUCUCUCUUCUGCGCGUCUUUCAAGAUUCAGGACAGACAUUUGUCCCUGCAGUGGGCUCUGGUGCCCGGCCUCUCCCCUCUGCUCCGCAGGCCGCCCUUCCAGAAUAGCAGCUAAAGGCAUGUUUUCAGGUCUGGAAGCUCAUAUGGCUGUGAUCAAAGCCUGUUCCAUCACCUACAGGCUGAGAAACCUCAACCAAGGGCCUUAACUAAGUCUCUGAGCCUCAGAGUCCUCACCUGCAAAUGAGGGGUUAAAAAUAGUACUCCCCCCCCCCAGGGUUGGAGUGGGAGUACAAAAAAAAAAAGGAAAAAGCUUAAUUCUGAGCGGUGGGGAUACAGACUGUCACCUGCCUCCCCCAGCCCCACUCUCUUUUCUACUUCUACUAGUUGUAAUUACAGUGUAAGCCUCUGCCGCCCCCCCCAAAAAAAAAUCUCCUGGGAGAGAAUUUUCUUGACAAUUUCCUGAGCUUAUUUAUGCCAAGUAUUUGGCGUACAGCAGGGCUGAAUUCACGGUAGCCACUGGGUUUCAGCGCCCAUGCGGUCCUGCGUUGCCAUCAGACCGGCUUCCACAGCCUGGAAGGAGUCGCGGGUGGAGCUGGAUUUGCUGCAUUUUUAUAUUUUCAGCUCCUGGCAGUGUUGGGUAGAUAGAAAGCCCUGGAACAAAUCUUGUCAGCCUCUCUGGAGGAGAUUUAAGCAUCAAAUAGUGGGUUGGUCUAGAUGCUUUUUCAAAGUCUCUUCCAGCCCUGAAAUUCUGUGAUCAGGAAAUUACCCAGGAAAAAGUUCCCUUUGCAGGCUUCUUUCUAAGGUUUCUAAAUGGGGCUUUAUUACACACUGCAGGUAAUUAUAGAGGCUGAAGCGGCCUCAAGGAGCUCUGUGUGGCCUGGUGUCGCUGGUUGGUACAUUUCAGAGGCUAUCAUCUUUCCGCUGACCAGGGGAUCGGAAUCCUGACCAGGGGAUCGGAAUCCUGGCAAAGGCAGGCCCUCUCUUCAGCAGGGCAGUGGGAGGUGGCCCCGGAGGACGCGUCCUCUAGCUGGCAGCCCUCCACUCUCUGCUCCAGGGGAAGCCAGCACUAGUGGUGUGUGAAUAAUAUCAGGAAAGUCACAGAAAGCAGGAGCAAAGGAGACCUUGGGGACACCCAGUUCAGGAGGCACAACCUCUCUGUUCACAAGGACCGUGUGGGUUAUAUGAACAGAUAAAGAGACCUGGGUAGGGCAAUAGGGAGUAGUGGGGCCUGUGACAGACUAGAAAACUGAUCAGUUUCUGCUCAGCCCCUGGGGUUGUUGGUUUGGGGAACAUGGGCUCAGGGUUCCUGGAUCUGCCCCUGCUUUACCAAAAGAAGAGCUAGAGGUCCAGGGUUUUAUGUAGCUCUUUCUGAUUUUUGAAAGUUAGAGCUAAUUCAAAGUUUUGUCAGUCGGGGUAUGGCGCAGACAAAAUAGGCUUGCGAGGCUUGUGAGUUUCCAUAUCCUCUGAUUUAGCAUGACAUUUGGCAGAUUGGGAAACUGAGGUACAGAAUGGGGGAAUUUGGCAAAGUUUCCUGGGGAGGCUUUGACCUUGAGGGACAUAAAGAAUGGUCUGGCAUCCCAGGGGGCUCCUAACCCCACCUUCUCCCAAGGCAGGACCUGAGGCCCAGAGAGGGAAGGAGGCUAGCUCUGUGUCACACAGCUGGUAAUGGCAGAGUCUGGGGUAGGGCUGGGGCUUCUGGGCCCUCCUCCAUGGGACUGUCCACCAACGGUACUGCCAGAAAUGACCCUGGAAUGGUUUUGGUAAAGAGCAUGGCAGAGGGCAAGUUCUGACUUGUCGUCAGGCAGCAGGAAAAGGCUGGCCCAUGAGAGGCAGCUAUGCCAGGGAACUCCCCCUGUGCGGGGGAUCUGUUUGUGCAUGCGCUGAACUAACCCUUUCAGCUCUGAAGGUGCACAGGUCAGCCUGGGGGUGGGGGGACAAGAGGUCUGGAAAAUGGAGAAGACAGUGGGGAGGAGGAAGGUGAAUCAUCCCCAAAAGACAUCAAGGGAGGGGGGUCACUGCGCCAUGGAGUGUGAGUAGGGUUGGCUGUCCAGUGAGAGGAAGCUGGAUUUUGCCCAGAGGGCUUUGGAUUGGCCAAGGGGCCAGUGUAGAAAUGCCCACUGUGGGCUCCCUGUCUCUAAAACUCUGGGAGAGCCCAAGCUUGAAGAGAAGGCCUCAAACCCUGGACCCGAAAGGCAGGGUCUUGGCAGGCAGACCCUGCGAUGUCCGGACCCCAUGUCACUCCCAACAGUGCAGGACCUCGCCAGCCCCCCACCCCAUCCAUUCCAGCCUCGCUCAUCUGCUCAGAGGCCAGGGCUUCAGAGGUCGGUCAGCGUGGUUAUCCUUCAAAUCCCAACAUGUAGGAAAUGUCUCUUUGCUGCUUGAAUCACUCCGAUGGGUAGUGAGGUUGAACCGUUCUUUAUAGUGCAGGGGUCACCUGCAUUCCUUUUGUGUUGAUUUGCCUUUCAUGUCCUUUCCGCAUUUAAAAAAGAAAGAUUACUUCAAGGCAUUUGAUCCCACAGAGCAGGG